AAGACUAUACUUUCAGGGAUCAUUUCUAUAGUUCUUUACUAAAAAAUCUUUAUUGUCUAAAGUAUUACAUAUAG
This 74-nucleotide small nucleolar RNA is filed under the name Myotis lucifugus (little brown bat). RNAcentral describes it as "Small nucleolar RNA U3". It matches the Rfam family "Small nucleolar RNA U3", at positions 1 to 76 of the family's 219-position model. Rfam says of the family: Small nucleolar RNAs (snoRNAs) are involved in the processing and modification of rRNA in the nucleolus. There are two main classes of snoRNAs: the box C/D class, and the box H/ACA class. The record is from Rfam by way of RNAcentral. Lineage: Eukaryota; Metazoa; Chordata; Mammalia; Chiroptera; Vespertilionidae.